This 525-nucleotide ribosomal RNA is filed under the name uncultured bacterium. Its description in RNAcentral is "bacterial SSU rRNA". It matches the Rfam family "Bacterial small subunit ribosomal RNA", at positions 777 to 1301 of the family's 1533-position model. The record is from RNAcentral.
AAUAGAUACCCCGGUAGUCCACGCCGUAAACGAUGAGUGCUAAGUGUUGGAGGGUUUCCGCCCUUCAGUGCUGCAGCAAACGCAUUAAGCACUCCGCCUGGGGAGUACGACCGCAAGGUUGAAACUCAAAGGAAUUGACGGGGGACCCGCACAAGCGGUGGAGCAUGUGGUUUAAUUCGAAGCAACGCGAAGAACCUUACCAGGUCUUGACAUCCUUUGACCGUCCUAGAGAUAGGAUUUUCCCUUCGGGGACAAAGUGACAGGUGGUGCAUGGUUGUCGUCAGCUCGUGUCGUGAGAUGUUGGGUUAAGUCCCGCAACGAGCGCAACCCUUAUUGUUAGUUGCCAUCAUUCAGUUGGGCACUCUAGCGAGACUGCCGCAGACAAUGCGGAGGAAGGUGGGGAUGACGUCAAAUCAUCAUGCCCCUUAUGACCUGGGCUACACACGUGCUACAAUGGAGAGUACAACGAGUCGCAAAGCCGCGAGGCUAAGCCAAUCUCUUAAAGCUCUUCUCAGUUCGGAUUGU